RNAcentral lists this ribosomal RNA (126 nucleotides) under Cladosporium cladosporioides. RNAcentral's name for it is "5.8S ribosomal RNA". Lineage: Eukaryota; Fungi; Ascomycota; Dothideomycetes; Cladosporiales; Cladosporiaceae. The record is from RNAcentral.
AUGCCUGUUCGAGCGUCAUUUCACCACUCAAGCCUCGCUUGGUAUUGGGCAACGCGGUCCGCCGCGUGCCUCAAAUCGACCGGCUGGGUCUUCUGUCCCCUAAGCGUUGUGGAAACUAUUCGCUAA